This 387-nucleotide ribosomal RNA is filed under the name uncultured Pseudomonas sp. Its description in RNAcentral is "bacterial SSU rRNA". It matches the Rfam family "Bacterial small subunit ribosomal RNA", at positions 999 to 1382 of the family's 1533-position model. The record is from RNAcentral. Lineage: Bacteria; Pseudomonadati; Pseudomonadota; Gammaproteobacteria; Pseudomonadales; Pseudomonadaceae.
CCUAGAGAUGGAUUGGUGCCUUCGGGAACGUCUGACACAGGUGCUGCAUGGCUGUCGUCAGCUCGUGUCGUGAGAUGUUGGGUUAAGUCCCGUAACGAGCGCAACCCUUGUCCUUAGUUACCAGCACGUUAUGGUGGGCACUCUAAGGAGACUGCCGGUGGACAAACCGGAGGAAGGUGGGGAGUGACGUCAAGUCAUCAUGGCCCUUACGGCCUGGGCUACACACGUGCUGCAAUGGUCGGUACAAAGGGUUGCCAAGCCGCGAGGUGGAGCUAAUCCCAUAAAACCGAUCGUAGUCCGGAUCGCAGUCUGCAACUCGACUGCGUGAAGUCGGAAUCGCUAGUAAUCGUGAAUCAGAAUGUCACGGUGAAUACGUUCCCGGGCCUU